This 380-nucleotide ribosomal RNA is filed under the name uncultured eukaryote. RNAcentral describes it as "partial 18S ribosomal RNA". It matches the Rfam family "Eukaryotic small subunit ribosomal RNA", at positions 592 to 976 of the family's 1831-position model. The record is from RNAcentral.
CAAUAGCGUAUAUUAAAGUUGUUGCAGUUAAAAAGCUCGUAGUUGGAUUUGUGGCGUACGGUGUGUUCCGGGCACUUGUUGUCUGAGUAACCUGCUGUUGCCAUCCUUGGGUGGAACCUGUGUGGCAUUAGGUUGUCGUGCAGGGGAUGCCCAUCAUUUACUGUGAAAAAAUUAGAGUGUUCAAAGCAGGCUUAUGCCGUUGAAUAUAUUAGCAUGGAAUAAUGAGAUAGGACUUUUUUGCUAUUUUGUUGGUUUGCGCAAGAAGGUAAUGAUUAAUAGGGACAGUUGGGGGUAUUCGUAUUCCAUUGUCAGAGGUGAAAUUCUUGGAUUUUUGGAAGACGAGCUACUGCGAAAGCAUUUACCAAGGAUGUUUACAUUAA